Molecule: ribosomal RNA, 491 nt
Filed under: uncultured bacterium
Lineage: Bacteria
Description: partial 16S ribosomal RNA
Rfam family: Bacterial small subunit ribosomal RNA
Source: RNAcentral
GAUGAACGCUGGCUACAGGCUUAACACAUGCAAGUCGAGGGGAAACGACGGGGAAGCUUGCUUCCCCGGGCGUCGACCGGCGCACGGGUGAGUAACGCGUAUCCAACCUGCCUCUGACUGAGGGAUAACCCGUCGAAAGUCGGCCUAAUACCUCAUGGUAUCGUCUGCGGGCAUCCAACGACGAUUAAAGAUUUCAUCGGUCAGGGAUGGGGAUGCGUCUGAUUAGCUUGUUGGCGGGGUAACGGCCCACCAAGGCUACGAUCAGUAGGGGUUCUGAGAGGAAGGGCCCCCACAUUGGAACUGAGACACGGUCCAAACUCCUACGGGAGGCAGCAGUGAGGAAUAUUGGUCAAUGGGCGAGAGCCUGAACCAGCCAAGUAGCGUGCAGGAAGACGGCCCUAUGGGUUGUAAACUGCUUUUAUGCGGGGAUAAAGUGAGGGACGUGUCCCUCAUUGCAGGUACCGCAUGAAUAAGGACCGGCUAAUUCCGUG